Long non-coding RNA from Camelina sativa (false flax), 1003 nucleotides. RefSeq lists it as uncharacterized. The record is from RefSeq and is a predicted model, not a curated record. Lineage: Eukaryota; Viridiplantae; Streptophyta; Magnoliopsida; Brassicales; Brassicaceae.
AUGCAAUGUGGAUUUAACUUGUCAUUGAUGAAUGGUCAAAUAGUUAUUAACUUAUUUUAUCCAUAACCAAACAAUAACAGCGCGUGACCCCCACACGCACUCAAAUUUUCUCUCUCGAAGCAAUUUUCUGCGACAACCCUAAUCCGCCGCAUCUUGGCUCUCCGGUGUCCGGUUACGACCGGCACCGUGAGAGGGUUCAAGGAUACUUGGUCCGAAUCCACCUCUGCACUUGAAGACGUCGGUAAAUUGAUUCGGCUCUGUUUCUCGUGGCGAGUGUCGAAGGUCCGCUGUGCGCGAUGGCCGUUCUCGGUGGCUAAAAUAUCAUGUCUUUGCCUCCACUGCUUGUAGACGGUGGUGGAUCAAGGUAGAGGCUUCGAUUUCUGGUCCUUGCGUCUCGCAUCUCAAUCGGCAGAGCAAAUUGUGUUUGUAGAUUUGUUUUCAGGUCGCCUUCUUCCUGGUGUUUCCGGCGGUCGAGUGUGCUACCCUUGGCUAUGUCGUGGUGUAGCGUGUACUCUUUGCUCGGAAUCAUUUUUUUUCCAAGAUCUGUCUUGGUCUAACCGCCGUGUUUCGGCUCGUGUCUGCCGGAGAGGGAGCUUGCACCUUUUGCAUUAUGGCGUGUGAGGUUCCGUUCUGAGAAAGCUCAUGGAUUGAAACGAAGAAACAAUCUCACAUAACGCAGGAAGAGUUUGUGAUCGAUGUUUUGGAGUCUUACCGUUGACGGCUUGGUCUCGGGCCUCCUGCGAAAGGUUUCUAUAGCUAAUUAUUAGUCGUAACAAGGUGUCUUACAAUCUGCAUCAGCCCUUCUCCUUUUGCAACUCAUUCGGGAAGGACAUCAUAAACGUCAUCGCUUCAUCUUGUUCCCAAAGCUUCUUGGCUUGGUUGAGCAGAUGGACCGAAAACUUGGUUUAAUUACCGUAAUAUGCUUUCAUGUUUUUUAACCUUUUUGCCAUGAAACCAUAUGUAUAGGUUUCAAUUCUUUGAAUUGUAACCUAAAUUUUUUUCA